Molecule: ribosomal RNA, 354 nt
Filed under: Triticum aestivum (bread wheat)
Lineage: Eukaryota; Viridiplantae; Streptophyta; Magnoliopsida; Poales; Poaceae
Description: partial small subunit ribosomal RNA
Source: RNAcentral
AUGGGGCAGCAGCAAAGCAGGCUUCCAGUAUCUCAAGACAUUGUCCUCGAAUGUGGCGACACUAGCGGAAAAGCUAAAGAGGAGAGCACAAGAAGUGUGCAACCUUUAAUCAUCAGCAAAAGAUGGGCACAACCUUUGAGCAACCGACCUUUACUUGAACCUGUUUUGGGUGCGGUGCCAAUACUACCCGAUCCUUCGAUUUCUGUACAUGGACAUGGUUUGGGUGAGUUGCUGCCAGAGCUGAUCACUAUUCAAACUGCUUAUGUUCGUGUUGUCAACUCUCCUUUGAUUUCUUUACAUGGGCCUUGGUUGGGUGAGGUGCGAGGAAUGAUUAGUGGAGUCAAACUACUUUGA